RNAcentral lists this ribosomal RNA (208 nucleotides) under uncultured bacterium. Its description in RNAcentral is "partial 16S ribosomal RNA". It matches the Rfam family "Bacterial small subunit ribosomal RNA", at positions 568 to 774 of the family's 1533-position model. The record is from RNAcentral.
CGCGUAGGCGGCUUCUUAAGUCAAUAGGUGAAAACUGUGGGCUCAACCCACAGCCUGCCUUUGAAACUGGGAGGCUUGAGGACAGGAGAGGGGAGUGGAAUUCCCAGUGUAGCGGUGAAAUGCGUAGAUAUUGGGAGGAACACCAGUGGCGAAGGCGGCUCUCUGGCCUGUAACUGACGCUGAGGCGCGAAAGCGUGGGGAGCAAACG